RNAcentral lists this non-coding RNA (24 nucleotides) under Rattus norvegicus (Norway rat). The record is from RNAcentral. Lineage: Eukaryota; Metazoa; Chordata; Mammalia; Rodentia; Muridae.
UGUUUUCCUCGUGAUACACAGCAG